ACUACGCUACACUUUCUCCUAUUUGACAUGGCCAAGAAACUGAGGCAGAGAGCCACACAGCUGUUAUCGGAAGCAGGGGGAAGGGCUGCUUGGUAGACAGAAGCUGUCCAUGUCCCUUCUGCCACCCCUGGGAUCAUUGGAUGACACAG
Molecule: long non-coding RNA, 149 nt
Organism: Cervus elaphus (red deer)
Lineage: Eukaryota; Metazoa; Chordata; Mammalia; Artiodactyla; Cervidae
Exons: 3
Source: RefSeq, a predicted model, not a curated record